Molecule: unclassified non-coding RNA, 309 nt
Filed under: uncultured fungus
Lineage: Eukaryota; Fungi
Description: sequence contains ITS2
Source: RNAcentral
AACGCACCUUGCACCCUUUGGUAUUCCGAAGGGUACACCCGUUUGAGUGUCAUUGUAAUCUCACUAUGUUCAACUUUUUGUUGUUCAUAUGUGGACCUGGAUGUUGCUGUUGGUUUUCGACAGCUCGUCUGAAAUGCUUCAGUGUACCCCACUUUGUGGCGUAUUCGGUGUAAUACAUUGUCACCGGAGUUGAUCCUUUUGGGUCGCGUCAGUAAGAGUGUGGCUCUAUGCUUUCCAACCGUCCCUUCAUUGGGACAAUCUUCUUGACAAUUUGACCUCAAAUCGGGUGGGACUACCCGCUGAACUUAA